This 73-nucleotide transfer RNA is filed under the name Marmota monax (woodchuck). Its description in RNAcentral is "tRNA.Ala". Lineage: Eukaryota; Metazoa; Chordata; Mammalia; Rodentia; Sciuridae. The record is from RNAcentral.
GGAAUGUGGCUUAGUGGUAGAGUGCUUGCUCAGCAUGCAUGAGGCCCUGGGCUCAAUCCCCAAAACCACACCA